RNAcentral lists this long non-coding RNA (566 nucleotides) under Lynx pardinus (Iberian lynx). The record is from RNAcentral. Lineage: Eukaryota; Metazoa; Chordata; Mammalia; Carnivora; Felidae.
ACAGAUACAGCCUCUUCCUCUUCCGAAAGGUCAUCAGAAAACAUGAAGUUCAAUGCAGCAAAGAAUUACUGUUUGCAACUCUUAAAAAUGUCAUUCUCUUUAUAGAACUGGGUUAAAAAUCUACUUGUUUUUUUAUUUCAAAUUUCACUGCAGAGAGUGGCGUCUUAACCUACAAGACACCCACUCCAAGGUAAUGUCAUCCUAGUGAGGUCUAGCUGGUCUGAAGAGUUGGUCAACUUGUCAGAUCUACCAAACUCUUGGGAGAUUGUAAACUUUUGUGGGCAUAUUGGUUUCUGUUCAUUUUCACAAGAUUGACAGGCUCAUUAUGGUAAUACGGACAUCUCUACCUGAGAGCUCAUACUGUGCAAUUGUAAUUUUGCAUAUGCUAAUGAGAAGACAAUUCUAUCAGAGUGAACAUUUGGGCUGAGGUGCAAGGCACCAUUUAAUUAUAAGAACAGUAUGGGAUUGAGCUCUGUCAUGGAUUCUUCCAUUCCUUCCACCUUGUCUCUUUCCAAAUUCUUCUAUUUCUUCCUAGAUUUCCUUCCUCCUCUGCUUUCUCUCUCCUU